UACGUAGGGUCCAAGCGUUGUCCGGAUUUAUUGGGCGUAAAGAGCUCGUAGGUGGUUCGGUAAGUCGGAUGUGAAAACUCGGGGCUCAACCCCGAGACGCCAUCCGAUACUGCUGUGACUUGAGUCUGGUAGGGGAGAUCGGAAUUCCUGGUGUAGCGGUGAAAUGCGCAGAUAUCAGGAGGAACACCGGUGGCGAAGGCGGAUCUCUGGGCCAGUACUGACACUGAGGAGCGAAAGCGUGGGUAGCAAACAGG
This 254-nucleotide ribosomal RNA is filed under the name uncultured bacterium. RNAcentral's name for it is "partial 16S ribosomal RNA". It matches the Rfam family "Bacterial small subunit ribosomal RNA", at positions 524 to 776 of the family's 1533-position model. RNAcentral also lists the same sequence under 1 other name. The record is from RNAcentral.